CUUUACUGACGCUAAAGCUCGAAGGUGCGGGUAUCGAACAGGAUUAGAUACCCUGGUAGUCCGCACGGUAAACGACGGAUGCCCGCUGUUGGCGAUACAAUGUCAGCGGCCAAGCGAAAGCGUUAAGCAUCCCACCUGGGGAGUACGCCGGCAACGGUGAAACUCAAAGGAAUUGACGGGGGCCCGCACAAGCGGAGGAACAUGUGGUUUAAUUCGAUGAUACGCGAGGAACCUUACCCGGGCUUGAACUGCAGGUGAACGAUCCAGAGAUGGUGAGGUCCUUCGGGACACCUGUGGAGGUGCUGCAUGGUUGUCGUCAGCUCGUGCCGUGAGGUGUCGGCUUAAGUGCCAUAACGAGCGCAACCCUUUUCUCUAGUUGCCAUCAGGUUAAGCUGGGCACUCUGGAGACACUGCCACCGUAAGGUGUGAGGAAGGUGGGGAUGACGUCAAAUCAGCACGGCCCUUACGUCCGGGGCUACACACGUGUUACAAUGGGGAGUACAGCGAGUCGGUCGUAUGCAAAUGCGAUCCAAUCAUGAAAGCUCUCCUCAGUUCGGAUUGGGGUCUGCAACCCGACCCCAUGAAGCUGGAUUCGCUAGUA
Molecule: ribosomal RNA, 601 nt
Filed under: uncultured bacterium
Lineage: Bacteria
Description: bacterial SSU rRNA
Rfam family: Bacterial small subunit ribosomal RNA
Source: RNAcentral